Molecule: small nucleolar RNA, 81 nt
Organism: Hevea brasiliensis (rubber tree)
Lineage: Eukaryota; Viridiplantae; Streptophyta; Magnoliopsida; Malpighiales; Euphorbiaceae
Product: small nucleolar RNA U31b
Exons: 1
Source: RefSeq, a predicted model, not a curated record
GGAAAUGAUGAUAUAUUUUGUCGCCCCAGUCUUACUUGCAUAUGUUGAUGCAAGUUGGUGAUUGACAUUUUUAUCUGAUUC